This 430-nucleotide ribosomal RNA is filed under the name uncultured bacterium. RNAcentral's name for it is "bacterial SSU rRNA". It matches the Rfam family "Bacterial small subunit ribosomal RNA", at positions 335 to 755 of the family's 1533-position model. The record is from RNAcentral.
ACUCCUACGGGAGGCAGCAGUAGGGAAUCUUCCACAAUGGGCGCAAGCCUGAUGGAGCAACACCGCGUGAGUGAAGAAGGGUUUCGGCUCGUAAAGCUCUGUUGUUAAAGAAGAACACGUAUGAGAGUAACUGUUCAUACGUUGACGGUAUUUAACCAGAAAGUCACGGCUAACUACGUGCCAGCAGCCGCGGUAAUACGUAGGUGGCAAGCGUUAUCCGGAUUUAUUGGGCGUAAAGAGAGUGCAGGCGGUUUUCUAAGUCUGAUGUGAAAGCCUUCGGCUUAACCGGAGAAGUGCAUCGGAAACUGGAUAACUUGAGUGCAGAAGAGGGUAGUGGAACUCCAUGUGUAGCGGUGGAAUGCGUAGAUAUAUGGAAGAACACCAGUGGCGAAGGCGGCUACCUGGUCUGCAACUGACGCUGGAGACUACG